GAAAACUAUGAGUAAAGGGUUUAUGUGAUUCAUAUGAGAUGAUGAUGAAGAAGAAUGACCAUUAUUAUUAUUGUUCUUGGGAAGUUGAUCAUGAUCUUGGGUAUAGGUAUUUUGGAUAUUAUCUCCCAUUUGAGUCACCAUUUUUAUGAUGGGACUUUUUGUAUUUGAUGUUGCUUCAAUAAAAUCCUUCAUCUCAAUUUGCUUGCUCUUCUCAUCACUUUCACCCAUGGAAGGUUUAAUUCUUCCUUCAACAAACAUAAGAAGAGAGAGAAGAAUUAGGAAGAUGAAGCAAGAAGCCAGUUUGUUGCCCUCCA
RNAcentral lists this unclassified non-coding RNA (314 nucleotides) under Hevea brasiliensis (rubber tree). The record is from RNAcentral. Lineage: Eukaryota; Viridiplantae; Streptophyta; Magnoliopsida; Malpighiales; Euphorbiaceae.